RNAcentral lists this ribosomal RNA (467 nucleotides) under uncultured bacterium. RNAcentral's name for it is "partial 16S ribosomal RNA". It matches the Rfam family "Bacterial small subunit ribosomal RNA", at positions 28 to 507 of the family's 1533-position model. The record is from RNAcentral.
GACGAACGCUGGCGGCGUGCUUAACACAUGCAAGUCGAACGGAAAGGCCCUGCUUUUGUGGGGUGCUCGAGUGGCGAACGGGUGAGUAACACGUGAGUAACCUGCCCUUGACUUUGGGAUAACUUCAGGAAACUGGGGCUAAUACCGGAUAGGAGCUCCUGCUGCAUGGUGGGGGUUGGAAAGUUUCGGCGGUUGGGGAUGGACUCGCGGCUUAUCAGCUUGUUGGUGGGGUAGUGGCUUACCAAGGCUUUGACGGGUAGCGGGCCUGAGAGGUGACCGGCCACAUUGGGACUGAGAUACGGCCCAGACUCCUACGGGAGGCAGCAGUGGGGAAUAUUGCACAAUGGGCGGAAGCCUGAUGCAGCAACGCCGCGUGCGGGAUGACGGCCUUCGGGUUGUAAACCGCUUUCGCCUGUGACGAAGCGUGAGUGACGGUAAUGGGUAAAGAAGCACCGGCUAACUACGUG